CAGUAGCCGCGGUAAUACGAAGGGUGCAAGCGUUAAUCGGAAUUACUGGGCGUAAAGCGUGCGUAGGCGGUUUGUUAAGUCUGUUGUGAAAUCCCCGGGCUUAACCUGGGAACUGCAUUUGUGACUGGCAAGCUAGAGUAUGGCAGAGGGGGGUGGAAUUCCGCGUGUAGCAGUGAAAUGCGUAGAUAUGCGGAGGAACACCGAUGGCGAAGGCAGCCCCCUGGGCCAAUACUGACGCUCAUGCACGAAAGCGUGGGGAGCAAACAGGAUUAGAUACCCCUGUAGUCCCUGUCUCUUAUAC
This 301-nucleotide ribosomal RNA is filed under the name uncultured bacterium. RNAcentral describes it as "partial 16S ribosomal RNA". It matches the Rfam family "Bacterial small subunit ribosomal RNA", at positions 509 to 807 of the family's 1533-position model. The record is from RNAcentral.